UUAAACCUCAAGCCGCAUCUGUUUGCUUUCUUACUGGAUGUAAAUAAGAUGAUUUCCCUCAACUUCUAGCCGUCUUAUUUCCACGUUGUAUCUUGUGUAUAUAACAUAUGUGAAAAUAGAAAACAAAGUGCAAAGUGGUUUAAAGAACAGGCACAUUGUGAGUUUAAAAUUGUUUACUGACCCAACAACUGCUAGACGUGACUUCGAGCAGCAUCUCUGCUAAUUACAGCUAACAGCCUCCAGGUCCCAAUGCUUGACAUAACAUCAGCAAAUAGAAGAGAAGGAUGAAAAGAUGCCUGCCUAGCUUGGACUUGAAGGACUCCCUCCAGGACCAAGCAGGAAACCACAGGAAUGAUGUCCUGAGAUGUUUGUGGACUUGAGACCCAACUCCUCUUCAGUUCCAUCAAAGCCAGAGAAGACCAGAAAGGAUCCUCUGCCAUGUUUCAUUAUGUCCAGUCUUUCCUGAAUAUCUACAAUAUGGAAGGGGGAAGAAGUUUCUGGAAGGUGGUGAAGAUGCCACAGUUUGAAACAACCACAGAAUCCUGGAGACAGGAGCUCUGACCAGGCAGUUUCCUCCAUAUUUCUGAAUGGUGCGGAUGAUGUGGAAGGCGAUCUCACUGGCACCGCCUUUAGGGUGUGGCAGCAGCCUCCUGCUUGGUAAUGUUGUUCCAGCACCAGGACUUUCUUCCCUGCUUUGGCCAGUGUGGCUCCAGCUGCCAACCCACCAAUACCACUCCCAAUUACAAUGACGUCCAGGUUCUGGGGCACUUUGUCAAGGCGGAAACCUGGACAGAUACAUGCAGAAAGUUUUUUAAAGGUAACAUUUAUCUUUCUAUUUCCGACAGGAUAAAUAAAGAGGCAUUGUCAUGAACAAGUGCUAAAAUGUGUUGCAUAAUUGGGUGCAUAAUACAUUCUGAAGGGCGCACUGGCACCUCUCCUGUCAUAAAUAAAUGGCUGCUGGUGGUAGAUUAGACUGUGAACACAAUCUCCUGGUCCAUUAUCUAAUUAAGAUAAAGCCUACAGGUGACAAACAGUUACUGUACCUCUGCUAAUUUAGAUCUAAUCAACAGGUAAUUUAGAUAGAACUACAGAAGAACUAUAGUGAAUUUAUUGUAUAUAUAGUAUCCUUUUUCAAUUCUGUUUUAUGGCCUACUUUUGUAUCCUUUGAACUAUUUUAGGUUAACUUUGGCUUAGGUUUUUACAGCACAACCAAGACUCAUUUGAAUUGGUGUCCGAGGACAGUUUUAAUGUCGUAGAAGACCGCGUUGAAUGCAAUUUGAAGUCUUUUAACUAUUGCAAAAUGUGGACACUUGUUAGUAUAAUAUGGUGUAGUUCAUCUUCAGACUGACUAACACGCUUCAAUAUUGUACCCACAUGAGUUCGCCAAAAAUAUAUGUAAGUAUGAGGCUACAGCCAACACUGUCAUCUCUAUUUCCCAUUAAUAUAACACAUGAGACCUUCCUGAACAUUAUUUGCAAAGUCUAAAAAAUGACUUGAUAUUAAUUGCUAUUUCUGUGGACUUGAUCAUGAAACAACCAUACACUUGUUUCAGAGCUUGUUUUUAGAGCUUCCUUUUUGGAAGGACUGUCCAAUAUAUCUGUAACAUUUCUGUCCAUUUUUUAUUACUGUACAAAGAUGUGCUGUUUGAUUUUUAUGUCUGCAUUUUAGAAGAAAACUAAUAUAUCAUGAAUUUUAUUUAACUUAUUCUCAUUUUUUGUUUACUUUU
Molecule: long non-coding RNA, 1726 nt
Organism: Sander lucioperca (pikeperch)
Lineage: Eukaryota; Metazoa; Chordata; Actinopteri; Perciformes; Percidae
Exons: 6
Source: RefSeq, a predicted model, not a curated record